Molecule: RNA transcript, 1897 nt
Organism: Etheostoma cragini (Arkansas darter)
Lineage: Eukaryota; Metazoa; Chordata; Actinopteri; Perciformes; Percidae
Gene: trmt10a
Gene name: tRNA methyltransferase 10A
Exons: 8
Source: RefSeq, a predicted model, not a curated record
CAACCUUCUUUAACUGUCCAUGGCACUGUCUAACACAAUAUACAUGUGGUGCUAAAUUGAACAGUCUGUUUAGAUGUUAGUGAAUUUUCUUGGUUUGUGUGACCGUCUGAGGUUUGAUAUCUGGGUGAUGACGCACUUUUAAAAGGUUUCGUACUUGAAAUAAUCUGAUAAAGAAGAACUGUGCUAUUAAAUGCUGCCAGUUAGCUUUCCAACACGCUAACACCGACAGCUAGUUACUAUAGCAUCAUUAGCCAGCAGCCGUUUGUCAUCUGUGCUCUUCAUAGAUGGCUGAUGAUAGCGUGAAAAUUGAAGCUUCAGCCCAGCAGGAGAAAGAUAACGGAGGCAACAAGAGCAGUCAGAACACGGUGAGCAGUAAUGGAGGAAAUGCAGCAGAAAACCAAACGGUCUCCAAAAGUCAGAGGAAGAAGCUUCUGAAACAGCAGAAAUGGGAAGAAGAGAGAGAACUUCGAAAGCAGAGACGAAAGGAGAAGAAGCAGCAGCGUCGGCUGCAGAGGAGCAACCAUCUGGAGGAGCAGGGAGGAGAAGCCCAACAUAUCAGGAAACGGCCCCGCAGAGAGGUGACACCCAGCUCUCUCAGGCUGGUGGUGGACUGCAGCUUCGACAACCUCAUGCUGACCAAGGAUGUCCAAAAGCUUCACAAACAGAUCCAGCGCUGCUAUGCUGAGAACAGACGAGCCCUGCAUCCAGUGCAGGUUUAUCUGACAAGCCUGGGAGGACAGCUGAAACAAAGCAUGGAUAAGAAGGACAAAGGAUGGGUAAACUGGAAGGACAUCAGCAUUAAAACAGAGCACUACAGUGAAGUUGUGGCAAAGGAGGACCUGGUGUACCUGACAUCAGACUCUCCCAACGUGCUGGAAGAGCUGGACCACAAAAAGGCCUACGUGAUAGGAGGCCUGGUGGACCACAACCACCAUAAGGGGAUCACUUUUGAGAGGGCAACGGAGCUGGGGAUCAAUCACGCUCAGCUUCCUCUGAGCAGUUUUGUCAAGAUGAACAGUCGGAAGGUUCUGGCAGUCAAUCACGUGUUUGAGAUCAUCCUGGCAUACUUGGAGAAGGGCAGCUGGCAGGAGGCCUUCUUCACCGUCCUGCCUCAAAGGAAAGGAGCAGUGGCCGUUGACCAGGAAAAAGAAGAGGAAGAUUCGGACUCUGACUCUGACACCCCAGACCAAACUGAGAAAAGAGCCUAAAACUUUGUGCAAAUGGACAACUUCAAGCAAAGUUAAUUCCUGGGAAAAAAAUCGGAAUAUAUAUGGAUGCUGAGGCUAUGCUUGAAAGAGGGAUGUGUUAACAAAGCAUCUGUUUCUUUUGAAAUUUCACACUGCUUUUUUUUUUUUUUUUUCUUUUUUUUUUUUUUUAAACAGCUAUUUAUUGAAAUUUUGACUUUGUGCCUCCUGUAAUAGGUAAAAACUUAGUUGAACGGCUAAUUAAAGCUAAUACAAUUAUAAGAAGAUACAUUAUUAUUACCGGAAAUAUUUUUUUUCUUUUAGCAAGAAGCAUAAACUGUCUGGUGCUUAAUCUAUUCAUUUAAAAUAACGUUUUAAAGCAGGAUAAAGUUAAUACAUGAGCAUUAUUGUCUCUGGCCCUGGAAUUCUUGGAAAAUAUUUAAAUUUUUGAGAGUAUAUUCACAGUAUAAGAAAUGAAAGCUCCUCAACACAGUUGCUAGUAGCCAAGGAGGACACGGAGGGUUAAAACAUGAAUGACUCUUCAGAAGAAGUAAUAAUCUUCACUCGCGUUUCUGUGCGCGAAAGUCACCGGACGCCACAAUCUUCUGAACAUAGUCAUACUAGGAGAGAGUUUUGUGGAGGUAAUAGUCUUAAUUAGCUUUGGAGCAAAUCAUUUCGCAACAGCUUGAAUGUAACCGACGCUCAUUAAUAUC